Molecule: ribosomal RNA, 190 nt
Filed under: uncultured rumen bacterium
Lineage: Bacteria
Description: partial 16S ribosomal RNA
Rfam family: Bacterial small subunit ribosomal RNA
Source: RNAcentral
CCUACGGGAGGCAGCAGUGAGGAAUAUUGGUCAAUGGGCGAGAGCCUGAACCAGCCAAGUAGCGUGCAGGAUGACGGCCCUAUGGGUUGUAAACUGCUUUUAUACAGGGAUAAAGUCACCUACGUGUAGGUGUUUGUAGGUACUGUAUGAAUAAGGACCGGCUAAUUCCGUGCCAGCAGCCGCGGUAAUA